RNAcentral lists this ribosomal RNA (645 nucleotides) under Triticum aestivum (bread wheat). RNAcentral's name for it is "partial small subunit ribosomal RNA". The record is from RNAcentral. Lineage: Eukaryota; Viridiplantae; Streptophyta; Magnoliopsida; Poales; Poaceae.
AUGGAUAGCAAUCGUGCACCAGGCCCGGAUAACAUACCAGCAGAAUUCUAUAGAUUCUGUUGGGAGAUUGUUAAACAGGACAUCAUGAACUUAUUCGUGGCCUUCCAUGAGGGUACCUUGGAUGUAGAGAGGCUUAACUACGGUAUAAUUACUCUUAUUCCCAAAAUUAGUGGGAAAAAAAUCCAAGAGUUCCGCCCCAUCUGCCUUCUCCGUUGCCCAUACAAGCUUAUCACCAAAGUCUUGGACAACAGGGUGGCAGUGUUUGCUGAUAAGCUUAUCAGCCGCCAUCAAAAUGCUUUUAUCAAAAAACGUAAUAUUAUGGAUGGAAUUCUGACUUUGCAUGAGGUCCUCCACCAUACGCAUGUUAAAAAAAAGUGCGGGGUUGUGCUUAAACUCGAUUUCGAGAAAGCAUACGACAAACUCAAUUGGGACUUCCUUCUUGAAUGCCACAAGCUUAGGGGCUUCGGAGACAAGUGGUGUACAUGGGUUGAUCAAGUUUUGCGGAAUGGGACCGUGAGUGUUAAAAUUAACAACACGGUAGGGCCGUAUUUCCAAAGUUUUAAAGGGGUUCGUCAGGGAGACCCUAUGUCUGCAAACAUAACUUGUGAUUCAUUCAGAGGUUGUGCUUCGUCCCAUACGAUUUGA